ACCCAGGUCUUUUUUCUCUCGAGACAUAAACCAAGCGUGGAAGCUCAUUUCCGUCCAAAUCAUGGCCGCCGCUUUGGCCCAAAAAUACCUGAAUCAUCCCGGGGUGAUCUCGGACAUUAUUCCCAGGCCACGGAGUUCCAUCCUGCAUCGUCCAUCCCUCUUCAGGGACUUUUUGAGCUUUCGCCACGAGAGCAUUGAUUCGGACCUUGAACUCUUCA
RNAcentral lists this unclassified non-coding RNA (218 nucleotides) under Hevea brasiliensis (rubber tree). The record is from RNAcentral. Lineage: Eukaryota; Viridiplantae; Streptophyta; Magnoliopsida; Malpighiales; Euphorbiaceae.